RNAcentral lists this microRNA precursor (67 nucleotides) under Bombyx mori (domestic silkworm). RNAcentral describes it as "mir-2774 microRNA precursor family". It matches the Rfam family "mir-2774 microRNA precursor family". Lineage: Eukaryota; Metazoa; Arthropoda; Insecta; Lepidoptera; Bombycidae. The record is from Rfam by way of RNAcentral.
ACAACAUUCGAACUGUCGGUCUACCGAGAAAUUACACCUGCCCGGUUGAAGGUUUUCCCUUCGUCGU